UGACUCUGUGUUUAUGUUUAAAGGCUCUGGACUACCAUAGUAAGCGAGGUACUCCACUCGAACCUGUCCUGCAUGUCUCCGAUUAGAAAAAUGAAAACUGUUCCCUCCAGACACCUGCUCCAAACCACUGGCAAGAACUUGAAACAGUCAACUAGCCAGAACCGGCUAAAAGACAGAAUGAAAGGGGGAAAUGAGGGUGACUUUGGAUCCAUUAUGAGUAAUGCUCGGCCCCUGCUGGAGACGCUGGAGCAGAGGAACAAACGUGCUGAUGAUAAAUGAAAUUUGUUUGAAAUUACAAAGAAAGAGGCGCAUCAAGCAUCAUCAAGGGGAUUCCACAUCAGCCACAGGUUUCACUGACUAUGGAGAAAGGCUUUGGAUGUUGAAUGUUGAAAUGAUCUUAACUCACUGGUUUGCCAUCCCAGCCAUCAACGGUGACACUAAACGUUCCAAUAAAGUGCAACCUUGAUACACUGAUGCCCAGGAAGCAUUAAAGUUUUCUCAGGUUGAAUCUGGCUCAUAAACAUCCGUGACAAGCUUUCCGCUGAAGUGAUGCACUCAAGAGGUCAAUGGCAUCUUUUUAUUGCUUUGUAAGUUUAAUGUUUGCAUUAUAACGCUGGAAAUAUCUAAUAAAAUCUGGGAACAGACAGAGUAAUGUCCCUCUGAACCUUGUAUGUGGCAUGGAAACCGAUGGCCUUUUACACUGAGUUGUAUUGUCUGGAAUUGGUUUACUAUGAAUAAGUAUCCAUGGAAAUAUCUGUAGGAAAUAUCCAUUAAAAGGCAAACCAUAUUGUUAUGGGGAGACUGUAACCCUCUUAAUCUAAAUUUCCUUGAUAUUCUUAAAUUCCACUUCCACUGAGAUGUAUACUGAAAUACUUCCUUCAAAAAUAGAAAAGUGAUAUAAAACCACCAUAUAUGUCUGCAAUUGUUUGAAUAUGUCUAUUAGACAUUGGAUAUGAGUUAUAACAACCAUAAGAAAACAUGAUGGUUUCAAUCUGUUUUAUAGGCAGAAAAUCUGAUGACGUUUAAAGCUGAUGGUGUUGAAAAAAAUUAUAUUUUGCCAUUUUCUUUUGUAGUGGCACUAGUAUUUAGCUAUAUUAUGAGUUUUGAAAACAAAACAAAAAUAAAAAAAAUGAAAACAAAACUGAAAGGAAAGAAAAGAAAAAUGAAAACAAAACAAAGAAAAUAAAAAACUAAAGGAAAAACAACAGACAAACAAAGACAUAACAUUUAAUAUGAAAAACAAAAUGAAAAAAAAAAAACAGACACAACACAAAACAAAAGAAAGCAAAACUAAAACCAAAAGAAAACAAAAGUAUAAACAAUUUAGAAAAUUAAAUUAAAUUAAAUUAAAUUAAAUUAAAUUAAAUUAAAUUAAAUUAAAUUGACCUUCAGGAUGAAGAAUAAUUUAAUAUUAAUAUUUUACUUUUUUUAUUAAAUUUUUUUAUGGUAUUGGAGUACUGAAUUAUCCUCUGAGGAUGCUCAGGUCGUUAUAAUGGCAGUUUUUGAUACAAACAAACAGAUAAAAUGCAACUACAUUGGUGGUGACAUUUUAUUGAUCAGUCUUUUCAAAAUGGAAAUGUAGGCGGCGUCAGUUUCUACAAUCUUGUCAAUGGGUUUCGGUUACCAUUUCCAUUGCUCCCCUAAGAGACGGUUUAGUAUCACACAUCCUUUUGCAUCGCUCUCUCUGUCUGUCUGUGUGGAUUUAGCAUUAGCUUCUGAAAAGCCAGUGUCUUUGACUCGGAUAUAAAGCAGGUCACUGGGCAGGCAGCAACAUUGUUAGUUCUGCAGAAGAGUUUCGCUUCAAAUGCUGGGGGUGGAAAAUGUCAUGAUGGCGAACGGAUGGUUUUCAGAGCUGCCAAGCAGGCUUUUGGAGCAGUAGACCAAGAGGAGACACAGAGGACCCCAGCCCUCCUUCUAAUUAACUAUUUAACACCUUAGAUUAAGUAAACAGUGAAUUAUUGAAAGCACUGAGCGCUGUGCUACUGGGAAGGGCACAGCAGAAAGCCACACUGUACUGUAAAAGAGCUGAAUGUGUCGCAGCAUGUUAAACGCCUUGAGAAAUGAAGCAGUGCUGCGCCAGAAUGUAAUAUGUAAUAUGCAAUAAAUUAAAUACAACCACCUAUCAAAAAGACGAGAAAUCGCUUACAAAGAAUUACAAAGAGUGAUUUUUAAAAUAAAACCUCACGACAUGGACAUGCAGAGCAGCGGCUCACAUUCAGUUUUACUUCAUAAGCCAGAUUUUUACACUGAAUGUCAUGUGGCGAUCCAACAAAAGAGCAAAAGUGCUAUACAGCAAUGUGCAUUUAAAUAAAUUAAAUUGAAAUAAGUAUAAAAAUAAAAUAAAAUAAAAUGAUUCAAAAGGGCACAAAGUUGGUUGAAUAGGAAAGUGGAAUGGUUAGAGAAUGUAGAGAACUCAAAUAAAAUCUGUGACUUUACCAUCAUGCCCAAACCAGAUAGAAUAUACAGAGAUUGCUGAUUCAAUAUGAAAUAUUAUUGUGUUGCCUAAAAUGCAUUUUGCAGCAAAGAUGAAGCUGAUUUUGCACAUCAAUGCUUUUGUAUUAUGAGGCAGACAGAAAUCAUACCCGAGCUGUAUCUAUUUGUGACAGGAAAAUGGCCAGAAAUGUGUAAAUCUAUUUGUAAAGUGAAACAAUUUUUUUUUUUUUUUUUUUACUGUCCCUUAGCAGUGUUAGUUAGCAUAUAUAUGAACCUUAUCAUUAUUUUAGAACAAGCAUAUUUAAAGUUUAACCCCACACCUCAUACAUAUACUGAAAGAAUUUACAUUUAAAGCACAUUAAAAGCCUUAAAAGCAAAGCAAAAAAUAAAUAAAUAAAAUAACAAAAACAAGUCACAAAAACAAAAUGAAAAAUCAAAUAAAUAAAAUAAAAUAAAAAUGUCCAUGUGCAUUAAUAAAAUGUGGUUAAGUAAAAUAAAAAGGUAAACACCUAAAAUUUUGUUUUUGCACGUUUCAGAGCAACCCACAUUAGAGGUCCUUGAAUGAAUCAGUGUUUUUAAACAAAAUGGUUAAAGGAUUAGUUCACUUUCAAAUUAAAAUGUCCUGAUAAUUUACUCAACCCCAUGUCAUCCAAGAUGUUUACUUCUUUCUUUCUUCAGUCGAAAAGAUUUUUGAUGAAAACAUUCCAGGAUUAUUCUCCUUAAAGUGGACUUCAAUGGCUACUAAACGGUUGAAGGUCCAAAUUAAAAUUUAAGUGCAGCUUCAAAGGGCUCUACACGAUACCAGACGAGGAAUAAGGGUCUUAUCUAGUGAAACGAUCUGUCAUUUUCUAAAAAAAAAAUUUUUUAUAGACUUUAUAAACAGAAAUGCUCACCUUGCACUGCUCUGCGAUGCGUGUCUAUGACUUCACGUAAUACAUAAUCACGUUGAAAAGGUCACGCUAGACGUAGGCGGAAGUACAGACUCAGUCAGUGUUUACAAAUGUGGAGAAGGAGGACUGUUCAAAAGUUGUAUGUUCAAUGACACAUAUUACAUUUUUUUGUAAACAGUGUUUGACUUGUAAACACUGAGUCGGUACUUCUGCCUACAUCACGCAUGACCUUUUCAACAUAAUUACGUAUAACGUGAAGUGGUUGAGUCAAGGUGGAGCAUUUCUGUUCAUAAAGCAUAUACAUUUUAUUUUUUUAUUUUUUUUAGAAAAUGACCGAUCGUUUCCCUAGAUAAGACACUUAUUCGUCAUCUGGUAUCGUGUAGAGCCCUUUAAAGCUGCACUGAAACUGUAAUUUUGACCUUCAACCGUUUGGUAGCCAUUGAAGUCCACUAUAACGAGAAUAAUCCUGGAAUGUUUUCAUCAAAAACCUUCAUUUCUUUUCGACUGAAGAAAGAAAGACGUAAACAUCUUAGAAGACAUGGGGGUGAGUAAAUUAUCAUGAAAUUGUAAUUUGAAAGUGAAGUAAUCCUCUAAGUAAAUGAUUCAAUGACACUCAUAAACUUCAAUAAUAAUAAUAAUAAUAAUAUUAACAACUUCCUUGCAAGCUGUAUGGAAAGUAUGUUAUUAAUCACUUGUCGCCACCUACUGGCGUAGCUAUAUAACCUACAGAAAAUCAUCAUCACUAAUGCACAGUGACUGAUGGAAACACAGACAAGGGGAGUGAUACAAACAGGGAAGGUUCUCAAAGUUAUGAAUAAACGUUCCAGUUAUGAUAAUAGAACAUUUGUCUUUAAUAAUUUUCUCUAAACAUUAUUUAUAUAUCAUUCGAGAAGCAUUUUUCUGAAACAUUUUAGUAGACGUUCAUCUACUGUAUUUAAACAUUAUGACUUAUUGCUUGUUUACCGUUCAGAGAACAUUCAAAAGUAAAGUUCACAUAAUGUUUGGCCUUAAUGUUUUCUGUAAU
Long non-coding RNA from Cyprinus carpio carpio, 4347 nucleotides. The record is from Ensembl. Lineage: Eukaryota; Metazoa; Chordata; Actinopteri; Cypriniformes; Cyprinidae.